UACGGAGGAUCCAAGCGUUAUCCGGAAUUACUGGGCGUAAAGAGUUGCGUAGGUGGCAGAGUAAGUUAGUAGUGAAAGCGUUCGGCUCAACCGAAUAUCCAUUACUAAAACUACUCAGCUAGAGGAUGAGAGAGGUUAUUGGAAUUCCCUGUGUAGGAGUGAAAUCCGUAGAUAUAGGGAGGAACACCGAUGGCGUAGGCAGAUAACUGGCUCAUUCCUGACACUAAGGCACGAAAGCGUGGGUAGCAAACGGG
RNAcentral lists this ribosomal RNA (254 nucleotides) under uncultured bacterium. Its description in RNAcentral is "partial 16S ribosomal RNA". It matches the Rfam family "Bacterial small subunit ribosomal RNA", at positions 524 to 776 of the family's 1533-position model. The record is from RNAcentral.